RNAcentral lists this ribosomal RNA (227 nucleotides) under uncultured bacterium. Its description in RNAcentral is "partial 16S ribosomal RNA". It matches the Rfam family "Bacterial small subunit ribosomal RNA", at positions 107 to 334 of the family's 1533-position model. The record is from RNAcentral.
UGAGUAACACGUAUCCAACCUGCCGUCUACUCUUGGACAGCCUUCUGAAAGGAAGAUUAAUACAAGAUGGCAUCAUGAGUCCACAUGUUCACAUGAUUAAAGGUAUUCCGGUAGACGGUGGGGAUGCGUUCCAUUAGAUAGUAGGCGGGGUAACGGCCCACCUAGUCUUCGAUGGAUAGGGGUUCUGAGAGGAAGGUCCCCCACAUUGGAACUGAGACACGGUCCAA